Molecule: RNA transcript, 783 nt
Organism: Acyrthosiphon pisum (pea aphid)
Lineage: Eukaryota; Metazoa; Arthropoda; Insecta; Hemiptera; Aphididae
Gene name: ARL14 effector protein-like
Exons: 5
Source: RefSeq, a predicted model, not a curated record
CAGUGGUUACCCUGUGACAAACUUGACGUGGUGUUGCACAGCGAGUCGGGGGAUAUUUUCGAUUUGCGGAGCGGUCUGGUAGGAUGUCUGGUAGGCCUAUCAUAAUAAUAUUAUGUUAAAGUAUUAAACAAUAAACAGUAUUUUCGAAAUUACGAAAGUAAGUGUAAGUAGUCAGUGAUUGUCGAUUGAAGACUGAAGUAGGUAUAUUGAACAAUUGAAGGGUGGAAAUGCGAAAGGUGGUAUUGCCAAAAACCAAAAUGUUCACAAAUCAAGGAAAACGGUACUGAGAAUGAGAGAAGCAGAGAACUAAAGAAGAUCUCCUCUACUAUGUUUUGUCAACGAUCACUUUGAAAAAUACACAGAUUCAGAUCAGCGUAGACACUUAUCUGCAGAAAACAAUUAGAUAAUUUAUAUAGAAGUUUGUGCGUUGCCAUAAUGGAUAUAACUGAAAAAGUUUUGGAAAAAUUACAAAUCCAAGUACUCAAAGAUGGAAGUUGUGAUUGCAAUGAUGAAGAAUGCAUUGGGUGCUUUUGGCCGUGUGAAUCGUGCCAGUCAAACAAAUGUGGACACCUAUGCCGUAUCAAUCGUGGGUGGAAGUAUGAAGUAUGGGAAAGACAAGGAAGAAGUGAUAAAUAAUAAUUUGUAUCUUAAUUAUAUUUUAAAUAUUGUAAAUAUAACUAAAUACAAUUUAAUUCUAUGAUAAUAUUGUAAAUAAAUUGUAUGUUUUUAUCAAUCAACAAAUUUGUAUAGGACUAACCAAAUAAACCUUGAAGUUAUUCAGCA